Non-coding RNA from Marchantia polymorpha subsp. ruderalis, 132 nucleotides. The record is from the annotation of a GenBank genome assembly. Lineage: Eukaryota; Viridiplantae; Streptophyta; Marchantiopsida; Marchantiales; Marchantiaceae.
AGGUUGGUCAGAGCGACAAAGCUCAGGAGGGAUAGCGUCUGCUUUUCCGUCAGGCUCGUGUGGGGCACGGGUACUUGUUCCUGGCUGUGGAGUUUACGCUAUCCAUUGUGAGCUCUGUCGCUCUCCCUUCCU